RNAcentral lists this ribosomal RNA (759 nucleotides) under uncultured Porphyromonas sp. Its description in RNAcentral is "bacterial SSU rRNA". It matches the Rfam family "Bacterial small subunit ribosomal RNA", at positions 28 to 776 of the family's 1533-position model. The record is from RNAcentral. Lineage: Bacteria; Pseudomonadati; Bacteroidota; Bacteroidia; Bacteroidales; Porphyromonadaceae.
GAUGAACGGUAGCGAUAGGCUUAACACAUGCAAGUCGAGGGGCAGCAUGGUCUUAGCUUGCUAAGGCUGAUGGCGACCGGCGCACGGGUGCGUAACGCGUAUGCAACUUGCCUCACAGAGGGGGAUAACCCGUCGAAAGACGGACUAAUACCGCGUACACUUGGGAUAGGGCAUCCUGACCCAAGGAAAUGAAAUUCGCUGUGAGAUAGGCAUGCGUCCCAUUAGCUAGUUGGUGAGGUAACGGCUCACCAAGGCGACGAUGGGUAGGGGAACUGAGAGGUUGAACCCCCACACUGGUACUGAGACACGGACCAGACUCCUACGGGAGGCAGCAGUGAGGAAUAUUGGUCAAUGGGCGAGAGCCUGAACCAGCCAAGUCGCGUGAAGGAUGACUGUCUUAUGGAUUGUAAACUUCUUUUAUACGGGAAUAACAAGAGUCACGUGUGACUCCCUGCAUGUACCGUAUGAAUAAGCAUCGGCUAACUCCGUGCCAGCAGCCGCGGUAAUACGGAGGAUGCGAGCGUUAUCCGGAUUUAUUGGGUUUAAAGGGUGCGUAGGCGGCCUGUUAAGUCAGCGGUGAAAUCUAGGAGCUUAACUCCUAAAUUGCCAUUGAUACUGGCGGGCUUGAGUGUAGAUGAGGUAGGCGGAAUGCGUGGUGUAGCGGUGGAAUGCAUAGAUAUCACGCAGAACUCCGAUUGCGAAGGCAGCUUACUAAGGUACAACUGACGCUGAAGCACGAAAGCGUGGGUAUCAAACAGG